Molecule: long non-coding RNA, 523 nt
Filed under: Homo sapiens (human)
Lineage: Eukaryota; Metazoa; Chordata; Mammalia; Primates; Hominidae
Description: HSALNT0385157
Source: RNAcentral
AUAAAUCUCUCCUACCUGGAAGAGAAGAAAGGAAGAAACAGGAAGGCGACCCGCUCCUGUGGCUCCCUCCAACCACAGCCCUAUUUUCUCCCUGUUUCGCUCAGAGAGAACCUGCCUGAGAAUGAAGCCAACACCGAGAACACGAGUCGAGAGAUGGAGGAUCCUGAUGACAACCUCUGAACUCCUGGAUCCAGCUGUGCCUAAAGUCAAACUCCUGGUGGCUUUCUGGCCUUUGCAUCCGCACGAGGCUUAACAUGUGGCAGAAGGAACUACCCAGAUGGAUUCUCGUGACUUCAGUUUAUGUGAUUUGAUUUCCACUGACUAAAAUGAAUGGCCUGGGUUGGUCUGCAAGCGCACCAAGGAGACAGCACCGAAUGUCACGUGUCAGGGAUGCUGCCUGAGUGUGCGAGGCAGGCAGGGACUUUGCUUUCAUUCUGCGUCUGCUUUCUAACCUAUUCUCCCUGAGUUGUACACUCUGGGUUUAAAAGCAGAGGAGUAGAUGGCCGGGCACGGUGGCUCACGC